This 23-nucleotide microRNA is filed under the name Eptatretus burgeri (inshore hagfish). RNAcentral's name for it is "Ebu-Mir-1329_5p (mature (guide))". Lineage: Eukaryota; Metazoa; Chordata; Myxini; Myxiniformes; Myxinidae. The record is from RNAcentral.
GACAGUGACCAGGUUUUGACGGU